UACGUAGGGUGCGAGCGUUGUCCGGAAUUACUGGGCGUAAAGAGCUCGUAGGUGGUUUGUCGCGUUGUCCGUGAAAACUCACAACUCAAUUGUGGGCGUGCGGGCGAUACGGGCAGACUGGAGUACUGCAGGGGAGACUGGAAUUCCUGGUGUAGCGGUGGAAUGCGCAGAUAUCAGGAGGAACACCCGUGGCUAAGGCGGCUCUCUAGUACGGUACUGACGCUGAGACGCGAAAGCGUGGGGAGCGAACAGG
This 253-nucleotide ribosomal RNA is filed under the name uncultured bacterium. RNAcentral's name for it is "partial 16S ribosomal RNA". It matches the Rfam family "Bacterial small subunit ribosomal RNA", at positions 524 to 776 of the family's 1533-position model. The record is from RNAcentral.